RNAcentral lists this ribosomal RNA (720 nucleotides) under bacterium 75-L049659-122-016-C10. RNAcentral describes it as "bacterial SSU rRNA". It matches the Rfam family "Bacterial small subunit ribosomal RNA", at positions 57 to 791 of the family's 1533-position model. The record is from RNAcentral.
GCAGUCGAACGAUGAUCCGGUGCUUGCACCGGGGAUUAGUGGCGAACGGGUGAGUAACACGUGAGUAACCUGCCCUUGACUCUGGGAUAAGCCUGGGAAACUGGGUCUAAUACCGGAUAUGACUCCUCAUCGCAUGGUGGGGGGUGGAAAGCUUUUGUGGUUUUGGAUGGACUCGCGGCCUAUCAGCUUGUUGGUGAGGUAAUGGCUCACCAAGGCGACGACGGGUAGCCGGCCUGAGAGGGUGACCGGCCACACUGGGACUGAGACACGGCCCAGACUCCUACGGGAGGCAGCAGUGGGGAAUAUUGCACAAUGGGCGCAAGCCUGAUGCAGCGACGCCGCGUGAGGGAUGACGGCCUUCGGGUUGUAAACCUCUUUCAGUAGGGAAGAAGCGAAAGUGACGGUACCUGCAGAAGAAGCGCCGGCUAACUACGUGCCAGCAGCCGCGGUAAUACGUAGGGCGCAAGCGUUAUCCGGAAUUAUUGGGCGUAAAGAGCUCGUAGGCGGUUUGUCGCGUCUGCCGUGAAAGUCCGGGGCUCAACUCCGGAUCUGCGGUGGGUACGGGCAGACUAGAGUGAUGUAGGGGAGACUGGAAUUCCUGGUGUAGCGGUGAAAUGCGCAGAUAUCAGGAGGAACACCGAUGGCGAAGGCAGGUCUCUGGGCAUUAACUGACGCUGAGGAGCGAAAGCAUGGGGAGCGAACAGGAUUAAAUACCCUGGU